RNAcentral lists this ribosomal RNA (445 nucleotides) under uncultured bacterium. RNAcentral's name for it is "SSU rRNA". It matches the Rfam family "Bacterial small subunit ribosomal RNA", at positions 26 to 518 of the family's 1533-position model. The record is from RNAcentral.
AGAGCGAACGCUGGCGGCAGGCCUAAUACAUGCAAGUCGAACGGAUCCUUCGGGAUUAGUGGCGGACGGGUGAGUAACACGUGGGAACGUGCCCUUUGGUUCAGAACAACUCAGGGAAACUUGAGCUAAUACUGGAUAAGCCCUUCGGGGGAAAGAUUUAUCGCCAUUGGAGCGGCCCGCGUCUGAUUAGCUAGUUGGUAGGGUAAAGGCCUACCAAGGCUACGAUCAGUAGCUGGUCUGAGAGGAUGAUCAGCCACACUGGGACUGAGACACGGCCCAGACUCCUACGGGAGGCAGCAGUAGGGAAUCUUGCGCAAUGGGCGAAAGCCUGACGCAGCCAUGCCGCGUGAAUGAUGAAGGUCUUAGGAUUGUAAAAUUCUUUCAGCGGGACGAUAAUGACGGUACCCGCAGAAGAAGCCCCGGCUAACUUCGUGCCAGCAGCCGC